This 394-nucleotide ribosomal RNA is filed under the name uncultured bacterium. RNAcentral's name for it is "bacterial SSU rRNA". It matches the Rfam family "Bacterial small subunit ribosomal RNA", at positions 28 to 417 of the family's 1533-position model. The record is from RNAcentral.
GACGAACGCUGGCGGCGUGCUUAACACAUGCAAGUCGAGCGGUAAGGCCCUUUCGGGGGUACGACGAGCGGCGAACGGGUGAGUAACACGUGGGUGACCUGCCCUCCAGCUCUGGGAUAAGCCUGGGAAACCGGGGUCCUAAUACCGGAUAUGACUCCAUGACGCAUGUUGUGGGGUGGAAAGCCUUGUGCGGCUGAGGAUGGGCCCGCGGCCUAUCAGCUUGUUGGUGGGGUGAUGGCCUACCAAGGCGACGACGGGUAGCCGGCCUGAGAGGGCGACCGGCCACACUGGGACUGAGACACGGCCCAGACUCCUACGGGAGGGCAGCAGUGGGGAAUCUUGCGCAAUGGGCGAAAAGCCUGACGCAGCGACGCCGCGUGAGGGAUGACGGCCU